CGGGAUGUGGCUCAGUUUGGUAGAGCGCUUGGUUCGGGACUAAGAGGCCGUGGGUCCGAAUCCCACCAUCCCGACCA
This 77-nucleotide transfer RNA is filed under the name Caldiserica bacterium CG02_land_8_20_14_3_00_36_38. RNAcentral describes it as "tRNA-Pro". It matches the Rfam family "tRNA". From Rfam's summary of the family: Transfer RNA (tRNA) molecules are approximately 80 nucleotides in length. Their secondary structure includes four short double-helical elements and three loops (D, anti-codon, and T loops). Further hydrogen bonds mediate the characteristic L-shaped molecular structure. tRNAs have two regions of fundamental functional importance: the anti-codon, which is responsible for specific mRNA codon recognition, and the 3' end, to which the tRNAs corresponding amino acid is attached (by aminoacyl-tRNA synthetases). tRNAs cope with the degeneracy of the genetic code in two manners: having more than one tRNA (with a specific anti-codon) for a particular amino acid; and 'wobble' base-pairing, i.e. permitting non-standard base-pairing at the 3rd anti-codon position. The record is from RNAcentral. RNAcentral also lists the same sequence under 1 other name. Lineage: Bacteria; Pseudomonadati; Caldisericota.